Molecule: ribosomal RNA, 634 nt
Filed under: uncultured bacterium
Lineage: Bacteria
Description: partial 16S ribosomal RNA
Rfam family: Bacterial small subunit ribosomal RNA
Source: RNAcentral
GUCGGNUCNCAAGGCUGAAAACUCANAAGGAANCGNACGGGGGCNCCGCACAANACGGNGGAGCAUGUGGUCUAAUUCNAANCAGACGCGCAGNACGCUUACUNGGGUUUGAACUGCACAGGAAAGUCUCAGAGAUGAGAGUCCCUCUUCGGAGGUCNGNGUAGAGNUGAUGCAUGGCUGUCGUCAGCUCGUGUCGUGAGAUGNUGGGUUAAGUCCCGCAAACGAGCGCAACCCUUAUUNAUAGUUACUAACGGGUAGAGCCGAGAACUCUAUGGAGACUGCCGGUGAUAAACCGGAGGAAGGUGGGGAUGACGUCAAGUCCUCAUGGCCUUUAUGUCCAGGGCUACACACGUGCUACAAUGGACGGUANCAGAGAGCUGCAAGACCGCCAAGGUGGAGCUAAUCUCGGAAAGCCGUUCUCAGUUCGGAUUGCAGUCUGCAACUCGACUGCAUGAAGUUGGAAUCGCUAGUAAUCGCGGAUCAGCACGCCGCGGUGAAUACGUUCCCGGGCCUUGUACACACCGCCCGUCACAUCACGAAAGUCGGUUGCACUAGAAGUCGGUGGGCUAACUCGCAAGAGAGGCAGCCGCCUAAAGUGUGAUCGGUAAUUGGGGUGAAGUCGUAACAAGGUACC